GAUGAACGCUGGCGGCGUGCCUAAUACAUGCAAGUCGAGCGAACAGACGAGGAGCUUGCUCCUCUGACGUUAGCGGCGGACGGGUGAGUAACACGUGGAUAACCUACCUAUAAGACUGGGAUAACUUCGGGAAACCGGAGCUAAUACCGGAUAAUAUAUUGAACCGCAUGGUUCAAUAGUGAAAGACGGUUUUGCUGUCACUUAUAGAUGGAUCCGCGCCGCAUUAGCUAGUUGGUAAGGUAACGGCUUACCAAGGCAACGAUGCGUAGCCGACCUGAGAGGGUGAUCGGCCACACUGGAACUGAGACACGGUCCAGACUCCUACGGGAGGCAGCAGUAGGGAAUCUUCCGCAGUGGGCGAAAGCCUGACGGAGCAACGCCGCGUGAGUGAUGAAGGUCUUCGGAUCGUAAAACUCUGCUAUUAGGGAAGAACAAAUGUGUAAGUAACUAUGCACGUCUUGACGGUACCUAAUCAGAAAGCCACGGCUAACUACGU
Molecule: ribosomal RNA, 496 nt
Filed under: uncultured bacterium
Lineage: Bacteria
Description: partial 16S ribosomal RNA
Rfam family: Bacterial small subunit ribosomal RNA
Source: RNAcentral